GACGAACGCUGGCGGCGUGCCUAAUACAUGCAAGUAGAACGCUGAAGAGAGGAGCUUGCUCUUCUUGGAUGAGUUGCGAACGGGUGAGUAACGCGUAGGUAACCUGCCUUGUAGCGGGGGAUAACUAUUGGAAACGAUAGCUAAUACCGCAUAACAAUGGAUGACACAUGUCAUUUAUUUGAAAGGGGCAAUUGCUCCACUACAAGAUGGACCUGCGUUGUAUUAGCUAGUAGGUGAGGUAACGGCUCACCUAGGCGACGAUACAUAGCCGACCUGAGAGGGUGAUCGGCCACACUGGGACUGAGACACGGCCCAGACUCCUACGGGAGGCAGCAGUAGGGAAUCUUCGGCAAUGGGGGCAACCCUGACCGAGCAACGCCGCGUGAGUGAAGAAGGUUUUCGGAUCGUAAAGCUCUGUUGUAAGUCAAGAACGAGUGUGAGAGUGGAAAGUUCACACUGUGACGGUAGCUUACCAGAAAGGGACGGCUAACUACGUGCCAGCAGCCGCGGUAAUACGUAGGUCCCGAGCGUUGUCCGGAUUUAUUGGGGCGUAAAGCGAGCGCAGGCGGUUUGAUAAGUCUGAAGUUAAAGGCUGUGGCUCAACCAUAGUUCGCUUUGGAAACUGUCAAACUUGAGUGCAGAAGGGGAGAGUGGAAUUCCAUGUGUAGCGGUGAAAUGCGUAGAUAUAUGGAGGAACACCGGUGGCGAAAGCGGCUCUCUGGUCUGUAACUGACGCUGAGGCUCGAAAGCGUGGGGAGCGAACAGGAUUAGAUACCCUGGUAGUCCACGCCGUAAACGAUGAGUGCUAGGUGUUGGAUCCUUUCCGGGAUUCAGUGCCGCAGCUAACGCAUUAAGCACUCCGCCUGGGGAGUACGACCGCAAGGUUGAAACUCAAAGGAAUUGACGGGGGCCCGCACAAGCGGUGGAGCAUGUGGUUUAAUUCGAAGCAACGCGAAGAACCUUACCAGGUCUUGACAUCCCGAUGCUAUUUCUAGAGAUAGAAAGUUACUUCGGUACAUCGGUGACAGGUGGUGCAUGGUUGUCGUCAGCUCGUGUCGUGAGAUGUUGGGUUAAGUCCCGCAACGAGCGCAACCCCUAUUGUUAGUUGCCAUCAUUCAGUUGGGCACUCUAGCGAGACUGCCGGUAAUAAACCGGAGGAAGGUGGGGAUGACGUCAAAUCAUCAUGCCCCUUAUGACCUGGGCUACACACGUGCUACAAUGGUUGGUACAACGAGUUGCGAGUCGGUGACGGCAAGCUAAUCUCUUAAAGCCAAUCUCAGUUCGGAUUGUAGGCUGCAACUCGCCUACAUGAAGUCGGAAUCGCUAGUAAUCGCGGAUCAGCACGCCGCGGUGAAUACGUUCCCGGGCCU
RNAcentral lists this ribosomal RNA (1370 nucleotides) under uncultured bacterium. RNAcentral describes it as "bacterial SSU rRNA". It matches the Rfam family "Bacterial small subunit ribosomal RNA", at positions 28 to 1381 of the family's 1533-position model. The record is from RNAcentral.